RNAcentral lists this ribosomal RNA (460 nucleotides) under uncultured bacterium. Its description in RNAcentral is "partial 16S ribosomal RNA". The record is from RNAcentral.
AGUGAGAGAAGCGGUUACCGCGGCUGCUGGCACGUAGUUAGCCGGUGCUUAUUCUUCAGGUACCGUCAUCAGCUGUCGAUAUUAGCAACAGCCUUUUCUUCCCUGACAAAAGUCCUUUACAACCCGAAGGCCUUCUUCAGACACGCGGCAUGGCUGGGAUCAGGCUUGCGCCCAUUGUCCAAAAUUCCCCACUGCUGCCUCCCGUAGGUAGUCUGGGCCGUGUCUCAGUCCCCAGUGUGGCUGAUCAUCCUCUCAGACCAGCUACGGAUCGUCGCCUUGGUGAGCCGUUACCUCACCAACCAGCUAAUCCGACAUAGGCUCAUCCGAUAGCGCGAGGCCCGAAGGUCCCCCGCUUUCCCCCGUAGGGCGUAUGCGGUAUUAGCCUGGGUUUCCCCAGGUUAUCCCCCGACUACCGGGGCAGAUUCCCUAUGCAUUACUCACCCCGUCCGCCGCUCGCCCA